GAUUUCCUGUGGCAAGUUAAGUAUUACCCCUCAUGUUGUGUUUGAUUUUUUUUCUCAAAUGGUACCUAGUGUUCUUAUGUAUACAAGUAUAUGCUAUUGUAAAGCAAAAAUCCUCACAUACUCGGUGUAGCACCAAAAAAUGUAAUGGUACAUGCAUUUAUGGAUUAUUACUUUGUUUUGUUUUUUUAAUGGACAACACCACGGGACAGAGCCAGCCUGCUGCCAUAGACGAGACCAAGGGAGAGGGCCAGCCUGCUGCCAUAGACGAGACCAAGGGAGAGGGCCAGCCUGCUGCCAUAGGACACAGCGAGGGGGACCGAGCCAGCCUGAUGCCGUAGACGAGACCAAGGGAGAGGGCCAGCCUGAAGCCAUAGACGAGACCAAGGGGGACCGAGCCAGCCUGAUGCCAUAGACGACAGCGAGGGGGACCGAGCCAGCCUGCGGCGAUCUAUGUUACGAGCCAGCCUGCUGCCAUUGGACACAGCGAGAGGGACCGAGCCAGCCUGAUGCCAUAGACGACAGCGAGAGGGACCGAGCCAGCCUGAUGCCAUAGACGACAGCGAGAGGGACCGAGCCAGCCUGAUGCCAUAGACGACAGCGAGAGGGACCGAGCCAGCCUGAUGCCAUAGACGAGACCAAGGGAGAGGGUCAGCCUGAUGCCAUAGACGAGGGGGACCGAGCCAGCCUGCGGCGAUCUAUGUUACGCUGAAUAUGUACACAGCACUCCAGUGGACACGCCAUCCAGGAACUGGGCCAACAUUGAUGCUGCCAUAGGCGACACCUGCAGUCAAUGACUAUCUUCACAACAUUACAAUUAUGAAACUCCAAAUAAAUAAUGAAAUGUAACAGCACACAACUUUCUGGUUCUUAAAUGUUUUGCAAUAUUGGUUCACACAUUAAUAACAUAAACUGUGGGGGGAGAAAAGCCAGAAAAAAAUGUUAAGAUUUGAAGUAAUGCAUUUGUUUGGAAGCUUGGGGAGGAAUGUUGCUUUAGAAAGAGAAGGGUUUUUAAAAAUGUAUAUGUAUGUAUUCUGAAUCUUGUCGAAAACGGGGGGGGGGGAACAACAACGAUGGUCAUGGCUGCUUGUCUGCAAAAAGCUUAGGGGGGUCACUGGACACUGGUUUAGAUUAUGUGAUUGAAGUAAUGCAUUUCUUAGAAACUUGGGGAACAAUGUUCACUUCAUGAUUUUGCAAAUUAAAAAAGCACAACAUAA
This is a long non-coding RNA of Engraulis encrasicolus (European anchovy), 1214 nucleotides long. RefSeq lists it as uncharacterized. NCBI's taxonomy places the organism in Eukaryota, Metazoa, Chordata, Actinopteri, Clupeiformes, Engraulidae. The record is from RefSeq and is a predicted model, not a curated record. The transcript is spliced from 3 exons.